AAGCAGCCGUAGUGAUUUAGGCAAUGUCUCAUUAGGUCUGAUAAUGAAUCAUGGACUAGAGUCAUUGUAAGAGGACCUAAGACUUGGGCCCUCAUUGAUAUGAAAAUGACUUCUCACUUAAUGAAUCGAUAGGACUGAUAAUUAGUCAUUAAAAGGAGUUGUUAUCAAGAACUUGAUAUCUUGGAGUCUUUUUGUUGUGACAAAGGGUCCAUCCAAUGACUCAAACCAGCCCGGG
This 235-nucleotide long non-coding RNA is filed under the name Capsicum annuum. RNAcentral describes it as "long non-coding RNA (CANN_LNC020949)". Lineage: Eukaryota; Viridiplantae; Streptophyta; Magnoliopsida; Solanales; Solanaceae. The record is from RNAcentral.